GUAUCCUCUAGUGCAUAUACUAAAAUUGGAACGAUAAGAUUAGCAUGGCCUCUGCGCAAGGAUGACACGCAAAUUCUUAAAGCGUUCCUCAUUUUU
This 96-nucleotide small nuclear RNA is filed under the name Oryzias javanicus (javanese ricefish). The record is from RNAcentral. Lineage: Eukaryota; Metazoa; Chordata; Actinopteri; Beloniformes; Adrianichthyidae.